UAUGUUCUGAACGGAGUAAGAACAUUACAAUUUAUAGAACGUAACAUUUUGUUCACACAAACAGACGGCAAUUGAACAAAACAGUUUGUUAACAAGUUACGAAAUACGAAGCAUUUUUGAUAUUCAAUAUUGAAUAAUGUUUAAUGUGUCUCAACUUCUGUUCCUGUAUUUAACUGUUUUGACGAGCAAGCACGCUGCCGGCACGAUCAUGGGCUACGAGUACGUGCAAGAAGCAGAUGCAUGGCUGCGCCUGCACAUCGUGCCGGCUGAUUGGCAAGACGCCCGCUUACGAUGUCAUCUUGAAGGUGGCGUUCUAGCUUCAUCUACAAGCAGUGCUUUAACCAAAGCAAUGAUUGCCAU
Long non-coding RNA from Cydia pomonella (codling moth), 360 nucleotides. RefSeq lists it as uncharacterized. The transcript is spliced from 3 exons. NCBI's taxonomy places the organism in Eukaryota, Metazoa, Arthropoda, Insecta, Lepidoptera, Tortricidae. The record is from RefSeq and is a predicted model, not a curated record.